AAGCGGUGGGGAACACGAGUUUUGGCACGGGUUUUGGGGGACCCACACCGGGGGUGGCGGCCUUGGCGGGCGCCGUGCCAAAGACGCACGCGGGGGGCGAGACACGCGGGACAUCCGGGAAGGGCUCCCAAAUCACAGCGUCCACGUCAGACGCGGGGAACAAGCUCAGAGCAGCCGCGGAAUUCCGAGCAGCACCCGUAAGUAGACGUAGGGGACGCACGGCGGUGACGCAGGACCCGGAAGUCGAACCGCGGCGGUCAGCUCGCAUCGCGGAGCAAACACGGGCACGGGCGAAGCAGGGAUCGUACACACGGAGCAAGGUCCGAAGUGGGUGUCGGCACGACACGUGAAGCCGUUUCGAACGCAAGAACAAAAGAACACAGAUCCCGGAAACAGAGAGACAAGUACUCAGACAGAGGAGGAGACUCAAACUACAAGCAAUAAUCUAGAAGAAACAGAAGAAUAAAAGACUUUGGGGGGUUUUCUGAAAAACUUUGGGUGGAAAAUGGUGAUAUUUAGUCAGAAAGGUGGGGUGAUAAACUUUGCAAUGUUCAUGUGUUUUGUCUCAUUGCCAAUGGUUUUGAACAACAAAGCAAAUUUACCAGUCAAUCAACCAGAGAAAAAUGUUUGGGAAGCUUUAGCCCAAGCAGCAGAUUUAGAUAGCAUUUGCCUGACGCACUCCAGACCAGAGAGGCCAUUUUCAGCAUGCAUGAUUGGAUUGCCAGUGAAUGAAUGGCCAAUUCCAAGACACACUGCAAUCGAGAUCUCACAAGUCGUUAAAGAUCCUGUGAAUGAAUAGUAUACUUGGACACAUUCUCUUCCUGUGACUUCUUCUGAACCUCAGGAAUUGGAGAUUUUCGGGUCCAUGACAAUGAAUGUAUGCAUGAAAUUUGAAAUUUCAAGUACAGCAAAGCCAAACAAAACUAUUGAUGUUACUCCCAGUCAUGAAUUCUACAGAAAUGCGUCAGCCUGGUGCAACAACACCAUGGUGACAGACAAAGGGUCACUCCAAGUCCCAGUGCAACUGCCAAGGGGAUUCUUUUUGAUUUGUGGAGACAGGAUUUGGCAUGGUAUUCCUGCGAAUGCCAAGGGAGGUCCAUGCAGCAUUGGAAGAAUUUCAAUGCUGACGCCAGAUUUAAAGAUGCAGAAAGAACAAAAACAUAAAGAAAAAAGAUCUUUACAAUAUUUCGAUGAGAAUUGUGAUGACAGGGUUUACACUUGGAGCAAGGCAAGGAGAAUUGCGAUAGCAAUUUUCUCACCUCAGGCAGCAUCAGGAAUUGCUUUGACUCAAUUGGAUCGUAUGGGUUGUUGGCUGAGCAAGCAUGCUCAAUCAGUCUCUCUUGCACUGAGUGACAUGUUACAGGACAUGAACAGUGUAAGACAGGCAACUCUGCAAAACAGAGCAGCAAUCGAUUAUCUUUUGCUUGCUCACGGCCAUGGGUGCAAAGAAUUUGAAGGAAUGUGCUGUAUGAAUCUCUCCGACCAUUUCAGGUCAAUUCAUGAAAAUAUCGAAAAAAUAGAGGAGAGUGUGAAGAAACUUGGCGAGAUCACUGGAUCUUGGAUUGAGGACAUGGCAAAGUUUUUUGAUCUUUCACCUUUGGGAAAAGAAAUUUUAAAGAUAGGAUUUCAAAUUUUGGUGAUUCUCAUAGUUCUCUUGAUUGUAAUCCCAUGCAUUCUUUUGUGUGUGCGGGGUGUCAUGAGUCGAGUUGUAAAGAGGGUGCUUUUGGUGCAAACAGAAGGGGGAGAUGUGGGAGCUCAGUACAUCACUCCGGAUGUCCAGAGCUACCAAGACAACCCUUGGGGGGCUCGGAAGCCCUGGAAUGUUGCCAAAAGUACCUGGUGGCUUGACUUUGAUCCUUUUAAAGAAAUGACACCUGAAGGUGAAGAGAUGAGAGAAUUUCAUGUCUAAAUGGUGAGGGGAUGUUAUUCACUUGUUAGAACUUAAGUUAGAAUGCACUGUACAGGGGGGUUUUAUGUAUUGUACAGGGGGGUCUAGAAUUCUGUGCAUGGAUCAGGAGUCCCAAGAUGGAGGAAUUUGGGCGUGCCCUGUCCUUCUUCUUUCUUCUCCUUGGCAUCCAUGUUCAGGAUGAUGUUGGCAUGUGUGGAUUGGUUCAUAGAAAGAGGACACUUGCCAACAAGGGCAGAAAGUAUUGGGAAGUAAAGGUAAAUAUCGAAUACGUAAUUUUCAUUAUAAAAGAGACAACCGCCUCGUGGGCGGGGGAGAGUGCCUUUGGCUGUCCUGCUGAACAGACCUCGGCUGGACAGACAGAAAAUCUUUGUAGAUAAGAAAUAAUAAACUCGACUGAAGACCGAAA
Long non-coding RNA from Passer domesticus (house sparrow), 2315 nucleotides. RefSeq lists it as uncharacterized. The record is from RefSeq and is a predicted model, not a curated record. The transcript is spliced from 2 exons. Lineage: Eukaryota; Metazoa; Chordata; Aves; Passeriformes; Passeridae.